UAGAUGACUUCUAUUGAUUAUGUUGCUGAACAGCUUCCUACAGAUCCUGAUAGCAAUGAUGUGGAUAUGCCAGCUGUGUCUAAAAAACACCACGAACCAUGCUUCCAAUCCUGAAGAAAUGGAAGAACGUCUAACAGCUAAGCUCUCACACUCCCAGGGAAAAAGCCGGAUUUAUGUGAAACGAAAACAAAAAAAAAACUAAACGAAAGUUAGAUGAAAUGAAGAAGAAAUUAAAAAGGAAAAAUAAGAAGAAGAGGUCCUGAAUUGCCAAACUUGCACAAGCCACCAUGGCAGCAUCUGUGUCAUCUACCUCAGGUCUUUCAGAGUUUAGCUAGUCUUCAGAGAAAAAUUAAAACCAAAAGUGAAAAUCUUGGUAGGCCAAGCUGAAGUUGAGAAGGCAUGAAGCAUUAAAGAGAAACAGGCAUGAAAUGGUGCUCUGCAAUUAGCUGAAGGUUUUCAGGUAAAGGACUGUGGAAUUGCUUGACAAAUAAAUUAAGAAACGAGAUAAAAUCAAAGAAAAAGUAAAAAAAAAUUGGGAUGAACGCAUCGAAGAAAGGGAUAAGGAGAGAAAAGCCAACAUUAAGAAAAAGAAAACUGAGAAGAAAGAACAUAAAGUGAAUAAAUUAAAGAAAAACAGGCAAAUGUAUCAUAUGAAAUACUGAUACUGUCUCAUGGAUGAGCUAAACUCGUGUUCUAUCAUGUGUAAGCCAUGUCGUGAUAGUUUUUUAUAACAAUACACUGGCAUGCUUCCUAUGAUCGGGGAAAAUUU
Long non-coding RNA from Daphnia carinata, 769 nucleotides. RefSeq lists it as uncharacterized. The transcript is spliced from 3 exons. The record is from RefSeq and is a predicted model, not a curated record. Lineage: Eukaryota; Metazoa; Arthropoda; Branchiopoda; Diplostraca; Daphniidae.